RNAcentral lists this small RNA (523 nucleotides) under Pongo abelii (Sumatran orangutan). RNAcentral describes it as "retained intron". The record is from RNAcentral. Lineage: Eukaryota; Metazoa; Chordata; Mammalia; Primates; Hominidae.
AGGCCCCGGCGGUGAGAGUCGGCCCAAAAAGCGGCGGCUGUUGGAGGUGGCUGCGGCAGCUGCUACCCGUUCCUUCCUGUGCGUGACUCAGCCUCAUCUCUACCCGGGUGCGUGCCUGGGCGCCGGGUCCUCUCGAGAGUGUGCAUCCGCGACUGGGGAUGGGGAGCCCUAGGGUUCUUUUGUCACUACUGUUCGAAUUACAGGCUUUGAGGCAGGAAAGGAUUCUGCACAGGCAUUCGACUACAAGUUGUUUGGUGACUUCGUUCCAUGUUCAAGUUUGUGCUGUUCUGCCUGAGGUUUUUAUUUGUUCUUUGGUUUUUGUUUUUUGUAUUUUUGUUGCCUGAGUUUUUAAAGCAGUAAUUCUUUGUUAGGGAAGUAGAUUUUGACAUGCUGUUUCUUUAUUUUGGUCUUAGGGACAGUUGUCUCCCAAACCUCAAUCAUGGCAUUUUAAUCCACUUUUUUUUUUUUUUUCCAUUUUUCCCCCUUCUUUUCACAGAUGUUGAUAAGCCACUUCUUAAUGCUC